UGCAAAAAAUCAGACGUGUACUGCAUCUAAAUAAUAAUACAGAAAAAUGAUGUAAUAGCAUUUAUUUUUACAUCUUGUUAUAUAUACACAAAAGCCAAAAGGACAAAAUUCUAAUUGAAAUAUUUAACAUUUUUUGACAUGUGAUUCUCUAUUGGCAAGUUGAUAGUACUUGAAGUAAUUAUUUUGAAAUGGAUCCACUUUUGUUUUAAGUCUGUACCGGUAGUUAAUAUUUAAUGAACUAUGUUUUACAAACUGUAAAUUUCACUCAGUUGAUCGGAAUAACUUGACCGGGUAAAACAUUGAUGUAAUGGAUUUAUAUGAGCUGACAUGAAUUAUUGUUUUGUUCAUCUAGUAUUAAUGCUGUGAGAGGCCAUGGGAGGUCUAUUGAAGACCUCAAAAGUAAAUGGAAACAACUUAAGUGCCGGACUGUUGCAAAGGCACGAAAAAACCAUAAAGAAGUACAGAAGACAGGCGGUGAGGAGCCAGUAAAGGGACUCAAUACUGUUCAAGAAAAGGUACUCUCCUGUGUCCCAAAGGUGGUCCUGGAUGGGCUGAAAGGGAAUGACACCGGACCAAU
This is a long non-coding RNA of Dreissena polymorpha, 577 nucleotides long. RefSeq lists it as uncharacterized. NCBI's taxonomy places the organism in Eukaryota, Metazoa, Mollusca, Bivalvia, Myida, Dreissenidae. The transcript is spliced from 3 exons. The record is from RefSeq and is a predicted model, not a curated record.